This 253-nucleotide ribosomal RNA is filed under the name uncultured bacterium. RNAcentral describes it as "partial 16S ribosomal RNA". It matches the Rfam family "Bacterial small subunit ribosomal RNA", at positions 524 to 776 of the family's 1533-position model. The record is from RNAcentral.
UACGUAGGGGGCAAGCGUUGUCCGGAAUUAUUGGGCGUAAAGAGCUCGUAGGCGGUUUGUCGCGUCUGCUGUGAAAACUCGGGGCUUAACUCCGGGCCUGCAGUGGGUACGGGCAGACUAGAGUGCGGUAGGGGAGACUGGAAUUCCUGGUGUAGCGGUGAAAUGCGCAGAUAUCAGGAGGAACACCGGUGGCGAAGGCGGGUCUCUGGGCCGUAACUGACGCUGAGACGCGAAAGCGUGGGGAGCAAACAGG